AGAGCGAACGCUGGCGGCAGGCUUAACACAUGCAAGUCGAGCGGGCGUAGCAAUACGUCAGCGGCAGACGGGUGAGUAACGCGUGGGAACAUACCUUUUGGUUCGGAACAACACAGGGAAACUUGUGCUAAUACCGGAUAAGCCCUUACGGGGAAAGAUUUAUCGCCGAAAGAUUGGCCCGCGUCUGAUUAGCUAGUUGGUGAGGUAACGGCUCACCAAGGCGACGAUCAGUAGCUGGUCUGAGAGGAUGAUCAGCCACAUUGGGACUGAGACACGGCCCAAACUCCUACGGGAGGCAGCAGUGGGGAAUAUUGGACAAUGGGCGCAAGCCUGAUCCAGCCAUGCCGCGUGAGUGAUGAAGGCCCUAGGGUUGUAAAGCUCUUUUGUGCGGGAAGAUAAUGACGGUACCGCAAGAAUAAACCCGGCUAACUUCGUGCCAGCAGCCGC
Molecule: ribosomal RNA, 447 nt
Filed under: uncultured bacterium
Lineage: Bacteria
Description: SSU rRNA
Rfam family: Bacterial small subunit ribosomal RNA
Source: RNAcentral